UGAAUGUGAUCGUCCGUCGCAUGGCGGAUUGUUUAAAGGCAGGGACCCGCAAGGGCCUGUCGCUUGGAGAGGAGCCCGCGUCCUAUCAGCUAGUUGGUGAGGUGAAGGCUCACCAAGGCUAUGACGGGUAGCUGGUCUGAGAGGAUGGUCAGCCACAUUGGGACUGAGACACUGCCCAGACUCCUACGGGAGGCUGCAGUCGAGGAUCAUUUGCAAUGGGCGCAAGCCUGACAAUGCGACGCUGUGUGGAGGAUGAAGGCCUUCGGGUCGUAAACUCCUGUCAUUUGGGAACAAAAUCGGGGAGGGGAUAAUCCUUUCCGGGGUGAUAGUACCAGAAGAGGAAGUCACGGCUAACUCUGUGCCAGCAGCCGCGGUGAUACAGAGGUGGCAAGCGUUGUUCGGAUUUACUGGGCGUAAAGGGUGCGUAGGUAGUUUUGCAUGUCAGAUGUGAAAGCUCAUCGCUCAACGAUGAAAGUGCAUUUGAAACUGCAGGACUGGAGUACGGGGGAGGAGAGUGGAAUUCUUGGUGUAGCGGUGAAAUGCGUAGAUAUCAAGAAGAACACCGGUGGCGAAGGCGACUCUCUAUCCCGAUACUGACGCUGAGGCACGAAAGCUGGGGGAGCAAACAGGAUUAGAUACCCUGGUAGUCCCAGCCUUAAACGGUGUACACUUGGUGUGGGAGGAUUUGACCCCUUCUGUGCCGGAGCUAACGCGUUAAGUGUACCGCCUGGGGAGUACGGCCGCAAGGUUAAAACUCAAAGAAAUUGACGGGGGCCCGCACAAGCGGAGGAGCAUGUGGCUUAAUUCGAUGCAACGCGAAGAACCUUACCAGGACUUGACAU
RNAcentral lists this ribosomal RNA (842 nucleotides) under metagenome. RNAcentral's name for it is "bacterial SSU rRNA". It matches the Rfam family "Bacterial small subunit ribosomal RNA", at positions 170 to 987 of the family's 1533-position model. The record is from RNAcentral.